GACGAACGCUGGCGGCGUGCUUAACACAUGCAAGUCGAACGGAAAGGCCCUGCUUUUGUGGGGUGCUCGAGUGGCGAACGGGUGAGUAACACGUGAGUAACCUACCCUUGACUUUGGGAUAACUUCAGGAAACUGGGGCUAAUACCGGAUAGGAGCUCCUGCUGCAUGGUGGGGGUUGGAAAGUUUCGGCGGUUGGGGAUGGACUCGCGGCUUAUCAGCUUGUUGGUGGGGUAGUGGCUUACCAAGGCUUUGACGGGUAGCCGGCCUGAGAGGGUGACCGGCCACAUUGGGACUGAGAUACGGCCCAGACUCCUACGGGAGGCAGCAGUGGGGAAUAUUGCACAAUGGGCGGAAGCCUGAUGCAGCAACGCCGCGUGCGGGAUGACAGCCUUCGGGUUGUAAACCGCUUUCGCCUGUGACGAAGCGUGAGUGACGGUAAUGGGUAAAGAAGCACCGGCUAACUACGUG
RNAcentral lists this ribosomal RNA (468 nucleotides) under uncultured bacterium. Its description in RNAcentral is "partial 16S ribosomal RNA". It matches the Rfam family "Bacterial small subunit ribosomal RNA", at positions 28 to 507 of the family's 1533-position model. The record is from RNAcentral.